GUGGAGGCCGCGCCACAAGGAGUGCCCGCCCUUGUCGCAGCCUCGGGGCCGGCUCCCGCCGUCUCUCGAGUGGCCAUUACCCUGUAGUUUUUCCUUGAGUACCGUCAGGCCCUUAAAGGAAGAAGGGAGAAAGAGGAUGAAGAAAAAAAGGAGGCACUGGUGACAAGUGGUGGAAUUUUGUAGAAAUUUCGCAGAGUGUGUGGAGACCACUGAGGCAUGCUGAAAAGGCUUCAUUUGCCAGCAUGCAUCAUCAUGGUCAAGCAGAACAGGCGCCCUUGUUAUUCUCCACAGGCAAGCCAUCCUGGAGAGAUACCAGCACACUUCCUCUACUGCCAGAAACCGAAGACACUGAUUAGUGAAUCCACACUAGUUCUACCGUCAUUUGAAAUGUUCUUGGAUUUUAUUUGGUAUACAAUUUGGUGAUUCAUAAAGGGAAUUAUUGAAUUAUUUGCACUGUUAAA
Non-coding RNA from Odocoileus virginianus texanus, 461 nucleotides. NCBI's taxonomy places the organism in Eukaryota, Metazoa, Chordata, Mammalia, Artiodactyla, Cervidae. The record is from RefSeq and is a predicted model, not a curated record.